CAGCACCUCAAGUGGUCAGGAUGAUUAUUGGGCCUAAAGCAUCCGUAGCCGGCUCUGUAAGUUUUCGGUUAAAUCUGUACGCUCAACGUACAGGCUGCCGGGAAUACUGCAGAGCUAGGGAGUGGGAGAGGUAGACGGUACUCGGUAGGAAGGGGUAAAAUCCUUUGAUCUAUUGAUGACCACCUGUGGCGAAGGCGGUCUACCAGAACACGUCCGACGGUGAGGGAUGAUAGCUGGGGGAGCAAACCGGAUUAGAUACCCGAGUAGACC
RNAcentral lists this ribosomal RNA (270 nucleotides) under uncultured archaeon. RNAcentral describes it as "partial 16S ribosomal RNA". It matches the Rfam family "Archaeal small subunit ribosomal RNA", at positions 477 to 747 of the family's 1478-position model. The record is from RNAcentral.